AUUCUCUUCACUUGCAGACGUAGAAGCGCGAAGUAAUCCUCUUUCCCAAAUUUCCCCCCAAAAUAUUCCCACCUCAAUUGAUCAUCACUUACUUUGCCUCUACCCUCCUCUAUGUUGGCACUGCAAUUACAAGGAAUUGUUGACCUUAUUCUUGUGUUAAUCAAAAAGAUGGGAGACAAAGGUAAUGGGUAUUUUCUAAUUUUGUCAACUUCAAUUUUAACUUUCUGCAUGUGGAAGUGGCUUUAAUUCUAAUCCAGUUUUGAUAUUCAACUUGGUCUCCUCAUUCAAGGGAGAUGUAACUAGCGUGCGCAGCCAUUUUAAUUCGAGUUAGGUUUGCAUCAUUUUUGUCUGUUGCUGCAGGUACUAAAAUUUGUUGCUCUCGUAUUGUAUAGUAUUAAGUUUUUUUUUUUUUUAAUAUUUUUAUGGUAUAUAACUAUUAUAUAUCAAAUAUUGGCAAAUGUAGUUCAUUCGAUACAAAUAGACAUGGUUGGACCUCUCUUAAUCUUGUUAAAUUUCUACUAACUAGUACGAAGUACGUGCAUUGUACGUCUUAUGUGC
This 558-nucleotide long non-coding RNA is filed under the name Olea europaea (common olive). RNAcentral describes it as "long non-coding RNA (OEUR_LNC015429)". Lineage: Eukaryota; Viridiplantae; Streptophyta; Magnoliopsida; Lamiales; Oleaceae. The record is from RNAcentral.